AUUGAACGCUGGCGGCAGGCCUAACACAUGCAAGUCGAGCGGAGCGGCGGACGGGUGAGUAAUGCCUAGGAAUCUGCCUGGUAGUGGGGGAUGACGUCCGGGAACGGGCGCUAAUACAGCAUAAUAUCAGAUGAGCCUAGGUCGGAUUAGCUAGUUGGUGGGGUAAAGGCCUACCAAGGCGACGAACCGUAACUGGUCUGAGAGGAUGAUCAGUCACACUGGAACUGAGACACGGUCCAAAAUCGUACGGGAGGCAGCAGGGGGGAAUAUUGGACAAUGGGCGAAAGCCUGAUCCAGCCAUGCCGCGUGUGGGAAGAAGGUCUUAGGUUUGUAAAGCACUUUAAGUUGGGAGGCGUUACCAACAGAAUAAGCACCGGCUAACUUCGUGCCAGCAGCCGCGGUAAUAC
This 407-nucleotide ribosomal RNA is filed under the name uncultured bacterium. RNAcentral's name for it is "partial 16S ribosomal RNA". It matches the Rfam family "Bacterial small subunit ribosomal RNA", at positions 30 to 526 of the family's 1533-position model. The record is from RNAcentral.